RNAcentral lists this ribosomal RNA (253 nucleotides) under uncultured bacterium. RNAcentral describes it as "partial 16S ribosomal RNA". It matches the Rfam family "Bacterial small subunit ribosomal RNA", at positions 524 to 776 of the family's 1533-position model. The record is from RNAcentral.
UACGUAGGUGGCAAGCGUUGUCCGGAUUUAUUGGGUUUAAAGGGUGCGUAGGCGGUCCUGUAAGUCAGUGCUGAAAUAUCCCAGCUUAACUGGGAGGGUGGCAUUGAUACUGCGGGGCUAGAGUACAGAUGAGGUAGGCGGAAUUGACGGUGUAGCGGUGAAAUGCUUAGAUAUCGUCAAGAACACCUAUAGCGAAGGCAGCUUACUAGGCUGUAACUGACGCUGAGGCACGAAAGUGUGGGGAUCAAACAGG